Molecule: ribosomal RNA, 422 nt
Filed under: uncultured Actinomycetes bacterium
Lineage: Bacteria; Bacillati; Actinomycetota; Actinomycetes
Description: bacterial SSU rRNA
Rfam family: Bacterial small subunit ribosomal RNA
Source: RNAcentral
UAGCCGCAAGGUCUGUAUACAGGUGGUGCAUGGUUGUCGUCAGCUCGUGUCGUGAGAUGUUGGGUUAAGUCCCGCAACGAGCGCAACCCUCGUUCUGUGUUGCCAGCAUUUAGUUGGGGACUCACAGGAGACUGCCGGGGUUAACUCGGAGGAAGGUGGGGAUGACGCCAAAUCAUCAUGCCCCUUAUGUCUUGGGCUGCACGCAUGCUACAAUGGCUGGUACAAACGGCUGCGAUACCGCAAGGUGGAGCGAAUCCGAGAAAGCCAGUCUCAGUUCGGAUUGGGGUCUGCAACUCGACCCCAUGAAGUCGGAGUUGCUAGUAAUCGUAGAUCAGCAACGCUACGGUGAAUACGUUCCCGGGGCUUGUACACACCGCCCGUCACAUCACGAAAGUCGGUAACACCCGAAGUCAGUGCCCAAC